AACUAGUUUAUAGCUCAAAUAUAUAAAAUAUUAAACUAUUUAUGUGAACAAAACCAAAACAUUUAAUUAUUAAAGUAUAGGCGAUAGAAAUUAUAAUUUUUUGACGCUAUAGAGAAAGUACCGUGAGGGAAUAGUGAAAGAAAAUCAUAAGUAAAAAAUAGCAAAGCUUAACGCUUGUACCUUUUGCAUAAUGAUUCAACUAGAAAUAUUUAGCAAAAAGAAAUAAAGUUAAAUGACCCGAAACCAGACGAGCUACCUGAUAGCAGUCUUUUAAGGGCGAACUCAUCUAUGUGACAAAAUAGUGAGAUGACUAACAGGUAGGGGCGACAAACCUACCGAGCCUGGUGAUAGCUGGUUGUCCAGGGCAGAAUUUCAGUUCUAACUUAACCUUACUAAACAAACAAAUUAAUUCUAGUGUAAGCUUAAGUCAUAAUCUAAAAAGGUACAGCUUUUUAGAUAAAAGAUACAACCCCCAAUAGAGAAUAAAUUUUAAUAAACCACAAUAGUUGGCUUAAAAGCAGCCAUCAACUAAGAAAGCGUUCAAGCCCAAUAGUAUAAAAAUUUAAUUUCCCAAUAAAUAAUAAUUCCUAAUAUACAACUGGACUAUUCUAUUUUUCAAUAGAAGAAAUAAUGUUGAUAUGAGUAACAAGAAAAAAUUUCUCCCCGCACAUAUGUAUGUCAUAAUGAAUAAAUCACUGACAAUUACCAAUUCAAGCAUUAUUAAUCACUUAAUUCCUUAAAAUUAAUUGUUAAACCAACACAGGAGUGCGAAACUAAGGGAAAGAUUGAAAGAAGUAAAAGGAAUUCAGCAAAUAUUAAACCUCGCCUGUUUACCAAAAACAUCACCUCUAGCAUAAAAAGUAUUAGAGGCAUUGCCUGCCCAGUGACUUCAGUUUAACGGCCGCGGUAUCCUGACCGUGCAAAGGUAGCAUAAUCAUUUGUUCUCUAAAUAGGGACUUGUAUGAAUGGCUCCACGAAGGUUUUGCUGUCUCUUACUUCUGAUCAGUGAAAUUGAUAUCUCCGUGAAGAGGCGGAGAUGAAAAAAUAAGACGAGAAGACCCUAUGGAGCUUUAAUUACCUAAUUCACAUAAAAAUUUUAACAUCUUCAUAAGAAAUAACCAAACAAUGUUGAAUUAGCAAUUUAAGUUGGGGUGACUUCGGAAUAAAAUUAAACUUCCGAGAAAAUUUUAUUAAGACCUACUAGUCAAAAUUAUACCAUUCAACACUGAUCCUUCAUUGACGACCAACGAAACAAGUUACCCUAGGGAUAACAGCGCAAUCCUAUUCAAGAGUCCAUAUCGACAAUUAGGGUUUACGACCUCGAUGUUGGAUCAGGACAUCCCAAUGGUGCAGCAGCUAUUAAUGUGUUCGUUUGUUCAACGAUUAAAGUCCUACGUGAUCUGAGUUCAGACCGGAGUAAUCCAGGUCGGUUUCUAUCUAUUUAUAGUUCCUCCCAGUACGAAAGGACAAGAGAAACAAAGCCUACUUAUUAUAAGCGCUCUAAUAAAAUAAAUGAAUUAAUCUUAAUUUAAUUAUACCAAUAAUUACAUAAGAAAAAUGUAUAUUGAUUAAAGUGGCAGAGUCCGGAAUUGCAAA
Molecule: ribosomal RNA, 1596 nt
Filed under: Tylonycteris robustula (Greater bamboo bat)
Lineage: Eukaryota; Metazoa; Chordata; Mammalia; Chiroptera; Vespertilionidae
Description: partial 16S ribosomal RNA
Rfam family: Bacterial large subunit ribosomal RNA
Source: RNAcentral